RNAcentral lists this long non-coding RNA (1339 nucleotides) under Callithrix jacchus (white-tufted-ear marmoset). Its description in RNAcentral is "lncRNA (ENSCJAG00000085795.1)". Lineage: Eukaryota; Metazoa; Chordata; Mammalia; Primates; Cebidae. The record is from RNAcentral.
GUUUCUUAAAUGUAUGAAGUUUCUCUUUCAAUUUAGAAGUUUGGGUCAUUAUUUCUUCAAAUAUUUUUUCUGCCAGUUUGUCUUCUUCCUCUACUGCAACUCCCAGAAAUAAGCUUGAGACACGGUUUUGCCAUUGGCCAGGUUGGUCUCAAACUCUUGACUUCAAGUGAUCCGCCUGCUUCAGCUUCCCAAAGUUCUGGGAUUACAGGAGUAAGCCACCACGCCCAGCCAGCUUCCGAGACACUUCAAAAGAAUCCUAGGAUUCUGAAGAACACAAACUGAAACCCUCUGGGAAUUGGACUAGCAGGCUUCAGAGGAACCUUUAAGGUGAUCCAAUCCAACUAUUCACUUGAUGCUUGAACAACAAGAGCUGUUACAAUUGUUUCUCAUUUUGAAUCUGGAUUAAAGUAUGAGUCAUCUUUAAAAGAGUAAAGACAAGUGCUCUAUAGACAAGAAACAUGGCUUAUUCAUUCGGUUUGUUUCACAAUUCUUAGGUGCUUAUUGUUAAUUGAAUGAAACAAUGUGAAUUGCUGUGUUUGGAAACAACAAAAAUACUAAUAAUUGUGUAAUUAUAAAACUGGGAGAAGUCGUCCUCAAUUUUCAUAUCAAUAAACUGGUACAAUACUCAUAAAAAACUUGAAGGGUGUCUUAGUUUUGUGUUGCUAUAAGGGAAUAGCCAAAACUGGGUAAUUUCCAAAAAAAGUGUUUAGGUCGGGCACAGUGGCUCAUGCCAGUAAUCCCAACACUUUGGGAGGCCGAGGUAGGUGAAUCACCUGAGGUCAGGAGUUUAAGACCAGCCUAGCCAACAUGGCAAAAUCCUGUCUCUACUAAAAAUACAAAAAAAAAAAAAAAAAAUAGCCAGGUGUGGUGGUGCACACCUGUAAUCCCAGCUACCUGUGAGUCUGAUGCAGGAGAAUAACUUGAGCCUGGGAGGCAGAGGUUGUAGUGAGCCGAGGUCAGACCACUGCACUUCAGCCUGGGUGACAGAGUGAGAAUCCACCUCAAAAAAGAGUGAGGGGGUUAUUUAGCUAAUAGUCCUGCAGGCUGGGCCAUUCAAGGACAUCGUCCUGGCUUCUGGUAAGGGCCUUGGUCCUGCAAGACAACAUGGCAGAAGGUCAAACAGGAAGCAGACGUGCAAAAAUGGGACCAAACCAAAGGAGGAACCUCACUUUAUAACUAAUUUCUCUAAUUGAGACUGCAUUAAUCUAUUCAUGAGGAAUCCACCCCUGUGACCCAAACACUUCUCACGGGCCACAACUCCCAACACUGCCACAUUGAUAAUUAACUGCAACAUGCGUUUAGUGGGACACAUCCAAACCCUAGCACAGGUAACUAUAAA